AGGACGAACGCUGGCGGCGUGCUUAACACAUGCAAGUCGAACGAUGAAGCCCUUCGGGGUGGAUUAGUGGCGAACGGGUGAGUAACACGUGGGCAAUCUGCCCUUCACUCUGGGACAAGCCCUGGAAACGGGGUCUAAUACCGGAUAACACUCUGUCCCGCAUGGGACGGGGUUAAAAGCUCCGGCGGUGAAGGAUGAGCCCGCGGCCUAUCAGCUUGUUGGUGGGGUAAUGGCCUACCAAGGCGACGACGGGUAGCCGGCCUGAGAGGGCGACCGGCCACACUGGGACUGAGACACGGCCCAGACUCCUACGGGAGGCAGCAGUGGGGAAUAUUGCACAAUGGGCGAAAGCCUGAUGCAGCGACGCCGCGUGAGGGAUGACGGCCUUCGGGUUGUAAACCUCUUUCAGCAGGGAAGAAGCGAAAGUGACGGUACCUGCAGAAGAAGCGCCGGCUAACUACGUGCCAGC
RNAcentral lists this ribosomal RNA (469 nucleotides) under Streptomyces sp. jf171. RNAcentral describes it as "bacterial SSU rRNA". It matches the Rfam family "Bacterial small subunit ribosomal RNA", at positions 26 to 512 of the family's 1533-position model. Lineage: Bacteria; Bacillati; Actinomycetota; Actinomycetes; Kitasatosporales; Streptomycetaceae. The record is from RNAcentral.